CCAACCUUAAGCACAACAGUCUGCAACAAAACCAAAUUGACUGUUAGAUUGACCUUAUAAAAGAAAACAAGCAAGAGGGAAAAGGAUCACAUGGUAAAGCAAAUGUCUUGUUUUCAACUACAGAAAGAAUGCAAUCGAUCUUAGACUAUACAACAUAACUUCGACAAAGAUAUUGCAUACAUAAGAAACUGACAAAUUAACUUUAAACUAAAAAUCAUCAGGUGUUACAGGUAGCCAUAUAUUACAAACUUAAAAUCUGUUUUACAGAGACAAAGCCAUCAAAACAUCAAUUACAGAUAAAAAUUCAAAAGCAAAAAACACACAGAUAGCGAAGAAUAGCAGAAACCAAAGAAAUAUAACAACGAUUUGAUGAAAUAUUUUAGGAACCAUAAUCUAAAAUGAAAUUUUGACUUAUAUGCUCAAGCAAGAACUACAAAUCUUAAUCUAAUUUUACAGGAGUCGCAUCUCUUUCCAUUUCCAGGUCAACUGCGCAAAUCUGUUUUCAAUUUAAAGCCCAAGAUCUAAUUCGCCAGAAUUUGGGGGAAAAUCUGCACUUUAUUCAACUUUUUAAAUUAAUUAAUUCCACCAAAACUAAUACAAGAUAGGCAAUCCCCUAUGAAAUCUCGAAUAAAACAAAAUUAUUAAACAUCCUACAAUCCCCAGCAUAAAAAUUCAACUAAAUCAGGAAUUCCAAUCCAAUAAUCCCAAUUCAUAUACACCACAAAAUCAAACCCAACACCGCAACCACAAAAACAACAACAAUAACCACAUACAUCGUCAAAUUAGACUCUCUAUAUUCUGAUGAAUCGAAAACAAGAAACAAGAAUCAAGACAGAGAAUUAGAUAUCAAAUGGGUACCUGAGACAUGGUUAUGGGUGUGCAAUACAAGUGAAGAAUAGAAGAAAUCUUGAUUUGUUUUCCCCCCUGAUUGAUUCUUGUGCGUGUUUGUGUUAGAGCUUGCAAGUUUGCUGGCUGAGGAAUUAUAUAGGCUUUUACAAUAAUGACUAUUCGUUGGAUCGGAUCGAGUCGGGUCGGUAGCUAUGUUUAGGCUCAC
This 1054-nucleotide unclassified non-coding RNA is filed under the name Hevea brasiliensis (rubber tree). Lineage: Eukaryota; Viridiplantae; Streptophyta; Magnoliopsida; Malpighiales; Euphorbiaceae. The record is from RNAcentral.